RNAcentral lists this ribosomal RNA (433 nucleotides) under uncultured bacterium. RNAcentral's name for it is "partial 16S ribosomal RNA". It matches the Rfam family "Bacterial small subunit ribosomal RNA", at positions 29 to 507 of the family's 1533-position model. The record is from RNAcentral.
AACGAACGCUGGCGGCAGGCUUAACACAUGCAAGUCGAGCGCAUCCUUCGGGGUGAGCGGCAGGCGGGUGAGUAACGCGUGGGAAUCUACCUUUUGCUACGGAAUAGCUCCGGGAAACUGGAAUUAAUACCGUAUGUGCCCUUAGGGGGAAAGAUUUAUCGGCAAGAGAUGAGCCCGCGUUGGAUUAGCUAGUUGGUGGGGUAAAGGCCUACCAAGGCGACGAUCCAUAGCUGGUCUGAGAGGAUGAUCAGCCACAUUGGGACUGAGACACGGCCCAAACUCCUACGGGAGGCAGCAGUGGGGAAUAUUGGACAAUGGGCGCAAGCCUGAUCCAGCCAUGCCGCGUGAGUGAUGAAGGCCUUAGGGUUGUAAAGCUCUUUCACCGGAGAAGAUAAUGACGGUAUCCGGAGAAGAAGCCCCGGCUAACUUCGUG